RNAcentral lists this ribosomal RNA (262 nucleotides) under Salmonella enterica subsp. enterica serovar Muenchen. RNAcentral's name for it is "partial 16S ribosomal RNA". It matches the Rfam family "Bacterial small subunit ribosomal RNA", at positions 1 to 259 of the family's 1533-position model. The record is from RNAcentral. RNAcentral also lists the same sequence under 10 other names. Lineage: Bacteria; Pseudomonadati; Pseudomonadota; Gammaproteobacteria; Enterobacterales; Enterobacteriaceae.
AAAUUGAAGAGUUUGAUCAUGGCUCAGAUUGAACGCUGGCGGCAGGCCUAACACAUGCAAGUCGAACGGUAACAGGAAGCAGCUUGCUGCUUCGCUGACGAGUGGCGGACGGGUGAGUAAUGUCUGGGAAACUGCCUGAUGGAGGGGGAUAACUACUGGAAACGGUGGCUAAUACCGCAUAACGUCGCAAGACCAAAGAGGGGGACCUUCGGGCCUCUUGCCAUCAGAUGUGCCCAGAUGGGAUUAGCUUGUUGGUGAGGUA